ACAGCCUCUACUGCAGAGCAUGGCUUGACAAAUGCUGGAUACUCCAUUAAACACAGCUGUGGGUGAAGCCAGGACAGACAGGAAUCCAAAGUGCAACAACUGGGCCAACUCCCAUUUUUCCGAGAUGGCUGCACCCAGGAAACCAGACCUCACCUACUGCAAAAAAACAUCCCAGAAGGGGAGAUUUUAGGGAUUGAUAAAAGACUGAGAAAACCGCAAUAUGGAGCACGCCGAUGAACCCACCGGAUUGUGACAGCGCUCCAGUGCGCACUGGUUAACUGCACCGCGGAUUCCUGAUCAUCUCUUCGCAAAAGCCUUUGUUCUCGCACUCGGCGUCGCUUGCCUCUGCGCCAGAAAUGCUGGGGGGGGGGGGACUGGAGCCAGGGAUUCACUGUGCUGCCUGUCAUGCCAAGGACAAACAAAGGAAAGCCAAAGCAGUUGAAAUAGUGAUGAGGAACGCAUGAGCGGCUUGGAGGCAUCGUCGUAGCAGCAUGAUGGUGUUGUGGUUAACAAAUAAAAACAUCUGAAGCAUUUUUGUGUGGCGUGAACAUGCUCUUCGUGAGUUGAUUGAAUCAGUUUAAUGAUUGGUGAGACCACCCUGUGGUCAAAACAAAAUAAACAGUGUGUGAAAAUGCUACUUUACUUUUUUCCAGGGGCAGUUAUAGGAAUUCAUUUUAAACAAUUUGAGGCGUAAUGUAGCUUACGAAACAAUAAUCUCUCACGAAACUGAUUUGCCAAAAUCAGCAUGACAAUAUAUUUUUAAGUAACUAAAUGGUGGAAUAAUAGUCACCCCUUUUCCACAUCCAUUCAUUUCAGAUGAACUAAGAGCACAUUACAUUUAAACAGGCCAACUUAGUCUGAGUCUUUGCUAGUGUAAUCAAUAAUUGUAUAACAAUAUACAUGUUCAGGCUGUUAAGGAAACUUGAGGCAAAGACUUAUGAUUAAAAUGUAUUCAAUGUUAAAUUCAGUCACCUGAGUAAGAAGAAAGAACAACAUGCUAAGCUGAGCAGCUCACAAAGCUAACAAACUCGCGCUAACUACCGUGCUAAUAUUAAGCUAACGUUUUGGCAGAUACAGUUGAGAUCAUUAUAAAUUGUAUGUGUUAAAAUGUUUCAAAUCUAGACUGUAUUUCCGUCAAAAUUACCUUUAAACAUAAAUUUUAAUGCAAACGCGUUGGCCUACCGUAUUGUUUCCUUUGAAUCAAUCCUUAUCAGAUUGGUCAAUGAAACCCAAGGGUUGCCUCACUGGUAACAUUCAGACCUGUUGUAGUUGUUUUUUUGUCUAACGUUGUCAUUUCCAAUUUCUUCAAAUAUCAAUAAUAUACUUUUUAUAU
This is a long non-coding RNA of Phyllopteryx taeniolatus (common seadragon), 1333 nucleotides long. RefSeq lists it as uncharacterized. The record is from RefSeq and is a predicted model, not a curated record. NCBI's taxonomy places the organism in Eukaryota, Metazoa, Chordata, Actinopteri, Syngnathiformes, Syngnathidae. The transcript is spliced from 3 exons.